CACGUAGGGCGCAAGCGUUGUCCGGAAUUAUUGGGCGUAAAGAGCUCGUAGGCGGUCUGUCGCGUCUGCUGUGAAAACUCAGGGCUUAACCCUGAGCUUGCAGUGGGUACGGGCAGACUAGAGUGUGGUAGGGGAGACUGGAAUUCCUGGUGUAGCGGUGAAAUGCGCAGAUAUCAGGAGGAACACCGAUGGCGAAGGCAGGUCUCUGGGCCACUACUGACGCUGAGAAGCGAAAGCAUGGGGAGCGAACAGG
RNAcentral lists this ribosomal RNA (253 nucleotides) under uncultured bacterium. RNAcentral's name for it is "partial 16S ribosomal RNA". It matches the Rfam family "Bacterial small subunit ribosomal RNA", at positions 524 to 776 of the family's 1533-position model. The record is from RNAcentral.